AGCGGGGCGGCAGGCUUGCCUGCCGUUGCCGGCGACCGGCGCACGGGUGAGUAACACGUAUGCAACCUGCCCGUGGCAGGGGGAUAAGCGGGGGAAACCCCGUCUAAUACCGCGUAACGCGGCCUAGGGACAUCCCAAGGCCGCCAAAGGGAGCAAUCCCGGCCACGGAUGGGCAUGCGGCGCAUUAGCUAGUCGGCGGGGUAACGGCCCACCGAGGCGACGAUGCGUAGGGGUUCUGAGAGGAAGGCCCCCCACACUGGUACUGAGACACGGACCAGACUCCUACGGGAGGCAGCAGUGAGGAAUAUUGGUCAAUGGGCGCGAGCCUGAACCAGCCAAGUCGCGUGAGGGAGGACGGCCCUACGGGUUGUAGACCUCUUUUGCCGGGGAGCAACGGGCGUCACGUGUGGCGCCACUGAGAGUACCCGGAGAAAAAGCAUCGGCUAACUCCGUGCCAGCAGCCGCGGUAAUACGGAGGAUGCGAGCGUUAUCCGGAUUUAUUGGGUUUAAAGGGUGCGUAGGCGGAUCGUUAAGUCAGUGGUCAAAUUGAGGGGCUCAACCCCUUCCCGCCAUUGAAACUGGCGUUCUUGAGUGGAAGAGAAGUAUGCGGAAUGCGUGGUGUAGCGGUGAAAUGCAUAGAUAUCACGCAGAACCCCGAUUGCGAAGGCAGCAUGCCGGCUUCCGACUGACGCUGAAGCACGAAAGCGUGGGGAUCGAACA
This 720-nucleotide ribosomal RNA is filed under the name uncultured bacterium. Its description in RNAcentral is "bacterial SSU rRNA". It matches the Rfam family "Bacterial small subunit ribosomal RNA", at positions 65 to 774 of the family's 1533-position model. The record is from RNAcentral.